AUUGAACGCUGGCGGCAGGCUUAACACAUGCAAGUCGAGCGGGGUGAUGGUGCUUGCACUAUCACUUAGCGGCGGACGGGUGAGUAAUGCUUAGGAAUCUGCCUAUUAGUGGGGGACAACAUCUCGAAAGGGAUGCUAAUACCGCAUACGUCCUACGGGAGAAAGCAGGGGAUCACUUGUGACCUUGCGCUAAUAGAUGAGCCUAAGUCGGAUUAGCUAGUUGGUGGGGUAAAGGCCUACCAAGGCGACGAUCUGUAGCGGGUCUGAGAGGAUGAUCAGCCACACGGGGACUGAGACACGGCCCAGACUCCUACGGGAGGCAGCAGUGGGGAAUAUUGGACAAUGGGGGGAACCCUGAUCCAGCCAUGCCGCGUGUGAAGAAGGCCUUAUGGUUGUAAAGCACUUUAAGCGAGGAGGAGGCUCUUUUGGUUAAUACCCAAGAUGAGUGGACGUUACUCGCAGAAUAAGCACCGGCUAACUCUGUGCCAGCAGCCGCGGUAA
Molecule: ribosomal RNA, 501 nt
Filed under: uncultured bacterium
Lineage: Bacteria
Description: partial 16S ribosomal RNA
Rfam family: Bacterial small subunit ribosomal RNA
Source: RNAcentral